Molecule: ribosomal RNA, 618 nt
Filed under: uncultured archaeon
Lineage: Archaea
Description: bacterial SSU rRNA
Rfam family: Archaeal small subunit ribosomal RNA
Source: RNAcentral
UGCGAGUCAUAUGUUCUUCGUGAACAUGGCGUACUGCUCAGUAACACGUGGAUAACCUGCCCUUGGGACCGGGAUAACCCCGGGAAACUGGGGAUAAUACCGGAUAACGCAUAUCUGCUGGAAUGCUUUAUGCGUAAAAUGGAUUUGUCUGCCCAAGGAUGGGUCUGCGGCCUAUCAGGUAGUAGUGGGUGUAAUGUACCUACUAGCCUACGACGGGUACGGGUUGUGAGAGCAAGAGCCCGGAGAUGGAUUCUGAGACAUGAAUCCAGGCCCUACGGGGCGCAGCAGGCGCGAAAACUUUACAAUGCGGGAAACCGUGAUAAGGGGACACCGAGUGCCAGCAUCAUAUGUUGGCCGUCCAGAUGUGUAAAAUACAUCUGUUAGCAAGGGCCGGGCAAGACCGGUGCCAGCCGCCGCGGUAACACCGGCGGCCCGAGUGGUGAUCGUGAUUAUUGGGUCUAAAGGGUCCGUAGCCGGUUUGGUCAGUCCUCCGGGAAAUCUGACGGCUCAACCGUUAGGCUUUCGGUGGAUACUGCCAGACUUGGAACCGGGAGAGGUAAGAGGUACCACAGGGGUAGGAGUGAAAUCUUGUAAUCCCUGUGAGACCACCUGUGGCGA